Molecule: ribosomal RNA, 171 nt
Filed under: uncultured bacterium
Lineage: Bacteria
Description: partial 16S ribosomal RNA
Source: RNAcentral
CUGGCCCUAAACGGUGCGCGUUUGCUGUAAGUGGAAUCGACCCCACUUGUGGCGUAGUUAACACGUUAAACGCGCCGCCUGGGAANCGCGAAGAACCUUACCUGGCCUUGACAUGCAAAUAGUAGAAGGGUGAAAGCCUGACGAGGUAGCAAUACCAGUUUGCACAGGUGC